GGGCUUGCCGGAGCCACCUACCAGCUUUCAAAGGAUAUGCGGAUACUCACUGAGAAGAAUAGCAUGCUACCUCGGGAGCUGGAACAGUGUCGGACCCAGCUGACUGCUGUUACCGCCGAACUGGAGAAGUCCAUGGAGGCACCGACUGGAUCGUCGGAUCAGCUGGAAGAGAAACUAAAGGCCGCGCAGGCGGAUAAAGAUCAUGCCGAAAGGCAAGAGGCCGCUGGUCAACGUGUACUGACACGGACCAGGGACGAGAAGAACAAGCUGCAGGAUGCCAACACCAAGCUCGGCGAAGAG
Molecule: ribosomal RNA, 300 nt
Filed under: Triticum aestivum (bread wheat)
Lineage: Eukaryota; Viridiplantae; Streptophyta; Magnoliopsida; Poales; Poaceae
Description: partial small subunit ribosomal RNA
Source: RNAcentral